GACGAACGCUGGCGGCGUGCUUAAUACAUGCAAGUCAACUGAACUUAAGAUAGCAAUAUUUUAAGGGAGGUGGCGCACGGGUGAGUAACACGUAGGUAAUCUGCCUUUAGGACUGACAUAACCCAGAGAAAUCUGGGCUAAUAUCAGAUGAUGCAGCGGCUCGACAUCGAGACAGUUGUUAAACCUUCGGGGCCUAAAGAUGAGCCUGCGUCUGAUUAGGUAGUUGGCGGGGUAACGGCCCACCAAGCCAUCGAUCAGUAGCUGGUCUGAGAGGAUGAUCAGCCACACUGGAACUGAGACACGGUCCAGACUCCUACGGGAGGCAGCAGUAAGGAAUAUUGCUCAAUGGCCGAAAGGCUGAAGCAGCAACGCCGCGUGGAGGAUGAAAUACUUUUGUAUGUAAACUCCUGUAAGAAGGGAAAAUAUUCCGAUUUAUCGGGAUUGAUUGUACCUUCAGAGUAAGCCCCGGCUAACUACGUGCC
This 482-nucleotide ribosomal RNA is filed under the name uncultured bacterium. Its description in RNAcentral is "bacterial SSU rRNA". It matches the Rfam family "Bacterial small subunit ribosomal RNA", at positions 28 to 509 of the family's 1533-position model. The record is from RNAcentral.